UAGCCUAGUUGGUAGUGCGUCUGCCUUGUAAGCGCUAGGCCGCGGGUUCGAUUCCCGC
RNAcentral lists this transfer RNA (58 nucleotides) under Diaphorina citri (Asian citrus psyllid). It matches the Rfam family "tRNA", at positions 8 to 63 of the family's 71-position model. From Rfam's summary of the family: Transfer RNA (tRNA) molecules are approximately 80 nucleotides in length. Their secondary structure includes four short double-helical elements and three loops (D, anti-codon, and T loops). The record is from Rfam by way of RNAcentral. Lineage: Eukaryota; Metazoa; Arthropoda; Insecta; Hemiptera; Psyllidae.